UGGGGAAUAUUGGACAAUGGGCGCAAGCCUGAUCCAGCCAUGCCGCGUGAGUGAUGAAGGCCUUAGGGUUGUAAAGCUCUUUCGUCCGGGACGAUAAUAACGGUACCGGAAGAAGAAGCCCCGGCUAACUUCGUGCCAGCAGCCGCGGUAAUACGAAGGGGGCUAGCGUUGUUCGGAAUCACUGGGCGUAAAGGGCGCGUAGGCGGCUUUGUAAGUCGGGGGUGAAAGCCUGUGGCUCAACCACAGAAUUGCCUUCGAUACUGCAUGGCUUGAGACCGGAAGAGGUAAGUGGAACUGCGAGUGUAGAGGUGAAAUUCGUAGAUAUUCGCAAGAACACCAGUGGCGAAGGCGGCUUACUGGUCCGGUUCUGACGCUGAGGCGCGAAAGCGUGGGGAGCAAACAGGAUUAGAUACCCUGGUAGUCCACGCCGUAAAACGAUGAAUGCCAGCCGUUGGCGAGCUUUGCUCGUCAGUGGCGCAGCUAACGCUUUAAGCAUUCCGCCUGGGGGAGUACGGUCGCAAGAUUAAAACUCAAAUGAAUUGACGGGGUC
RNAcentral lists this ribosomal RNA (550 nucleotides) under uncultured bacterium. Its description in RNAcentral is "partial 16S ribosomal RNA". It matches the Rfam family "Bacterial small subunit ribosomal RNA", at positions 355 to 920 of the family's 1533-position model. The record is from RNAcentral.